UUGUCCCUACGGGGGGCAGCAGUGGGGAAUAUUGCACAAUGGGGGGAACCCUGAUGCAGCGACGCCGCGUGGGUGAAGGAGUACUUCGGUACGUAAAGCUCUAUCAGCAGGGAAGAAAAUGACGGUACCUGACUAAGAAGCUCCGGCUAAAUACGUGCCAGCAGCCGCGGUAAUACGUAUGGUGCAAGCGUUAUCCGGAUUUACUGGGUGUAAAGGGAGCGUAGGCGGCGCGUUAAGUCUGAUGUGAAAACCCGAGGCUCAACCACGGGAGUGCAUUGGAAACUGGCGGGCUGGAGUGCCGGAGG
RNAcentral lists this ribosomal RNA (305 nucleotides) under uncultured bacterium. Its description in RNAcentral is "bacterial SSU rRNA". It matches the Rfam family "Bacterial small subunit ribosomal RNA", at positions 333 to 655 of the family's 1533-position model. The record is from RNAcentral.